Molecule: unclassified non-coding RNA, 200 nt
Filed under: Sclerostagonospora sp.
Lineage: Eukaryota; Fungi; Ascomycota; Dothideomycetes; Pleosporales; Phaeosphaeriaceae
Description: partial internal transcribed spacer 2
Source: RNAcentral
UUAAGUUCAGCGGGUAUCCCUACCUGAUCCGAGGUCAAACUGUGAUGUGGGCUUGAUGGACGCCGAUCCGCCGCAGCUUCGAGAAGCGCAAAUGUGCUGCGCGAGAAGCUGGCAAGACCGCUGCCAAUACCUUUGGGGCGAGUCCACGCACGAAGCGGGACAGACGCCCAACACCAAGCAGAGCUUGAGGGUACAAAUGA